This 460-nucleotide ribosomal RNA is filed under the name uncultured bacterium. RNAcentral's name for it is "partial 16S ribosomal RNA". It matches the Rfam family "Bacterial small subunit ribosomal RNA", at positions 338 to 795 of the family's 1533-position model. The record is from RNAcentral.
CCUACGGGAGGCAGCAGUGAGGAAUAUUGGUCAAUGGCCGGAAGGCUGAACCAGCCAUGCCGCGUGAAGGUCAGUGCCCUAUGGGCGUUAAACCUCUUUUGUGCGGGAGCAAUAAUGGUCACGUGUGGCCAGACGAGAGUACCGUAGGAAUAAGCAUCGGCUAACUCCGUGCCAGCAGCCGCGGUAAUACGGGGGAUGCAAGCGUUAUCCGGAGUUAUUGGGUUUAAAGGGUGCGUAGGCUGUGAGGUAAGUCAGCGGUGAAAUGCCCCGGCUCAACGGGGUGAAGUGCCAUUGAUACUGCCUUGCUGGAAUGCGGAUGCCGUGGGAGGAAUGUGUGGUGUAGCGGUGAAAUGCAUAGAUAUCACACAGAACACCGAUUGCGAAGGCAUCUCACGAAUCCGCGAUUGACGCUGAUGCACGAAAGCGUGGGUAUCAAACAGGAUUAGAUACCCUUGUAGUC